Molecule: long non-coding RNA, 212 nt
Filed under: Sus scrofa (pig)
Lineage: Eukaryota; Metazoa; Chordata; Mammalia; Artiodactyla; Suidae
Description: lncRNA (ENSSSCG00060063365.1)
Source: RNAcentral
GCCGGUCGGGUGCCGCAGGUCGGGAGGAUCCACUGGAGGGCUUGCACUUACCUCUCUGCUGACCUUGAACAGAUUCCAUAAAAUUCAAAAUGUUGAAUGCGUUUGGGAACUUGAUGCAUAAAAUUUGCAUGACUCCUCACUCCUUUCUGGAUCUGUCAUUGGAUUCAAGCCAACAUGGCUCACACCACAAAGGUUAACGGCUGUGCCUCAGG